RNAcentral lists this ribosomal RNA (446 nucleotides) under Ablepharus sikimmensis. RNAcentral describes it as "partial 12S ribosomal RNA". It matches the Rfam family "Bacterial small subunit ribosomal RNA", at positions 763 to 1413 of the family's 1533-position model. Lineage: Eukaryota; Metazoa; Chordata; Lepidosauria; Squamata; Scincidae. The record is from RNAcentral.
UGCUUCAAAAACGGGAUUAGAUACCCCACUAUGCUUAGCCCUAAACAAAGACAGUUCAAUUACAAUACUGUUCGCCAGAGAACUACAAGCGAAAAACUUAAAACUCUAAGGACUUGGCGGUGCUCCAUAUCAACCUAGAGGAGCCUGUCCUAUAAUCGAUACCCCACGCUAAACCUUACCCCCCCUAGAAACACAGCCUAUAUACCGCCGUCGACAGCCUACCUUAUGAAAGAACCUAAGUAAGCACAACAAUUAACAACUAGUACGUCAGGUCAAGGUGUAGCAUAUGAGGGGGCAGAGAUGGGCUACAUUUCCUCCCACAGGAAAUACGCAUGGUAUACUGAAACACCCUCCUGAAGGUGAAUUUAGCAGUAAGAUAAAUAAGCACAAUUGUCUAAAAUCUGCUCUGGAGCGCGCACACACCGCCCGUCACCCUCCUGCAGUCA